AAGAAUUCUUGCCUAUAUCCAAAUUGUUCUUUAAUGAACCUUUUUAUUGAUACUGUGUGAACACCAUCAGCGAGCGUAAGAUGUUCAUUUACUUCUCCAUAUUGUGAUGUUAAAAGUCCAUAUAAACUCCAUGCUACUGGAUUAGCCCAAUAAUACCAUCUCCAAUAAAUAGGAAUUCUCAUUCGAGAAAUCAUGAAUCCGCUGAACAAAUUCCACAUCAUGUAGAAUGGUGCAGCAAGA
RNAcentral lists this unclassified non-coding RNA (240 nucleotides) under Hevea brasiliensis (rubber tree). The record is from RNAcentral. Lineage: Eukaryota; Viridiplantae; Streptophyta; Magnoliopsida; Malpighiales; Euphorbiaceae.